UAGGGAAUCUUCGGCAAUGGACGGAAGUCUGACCGAGCAACGCCGCGUGAGUGAAGAAGGUUUUCGGAUCGUAAAGCUCUGUUGUAAGAGAAGAACGAGUGUGAGAGUGGAAAGUUCACACUGUGACGGUAUCUUACCAGAAAGGGACGGCUAACUACGUGCCAGCAGCCGCGGUAAUACGUAGGUCCCGAGCGUUGUCCGGAUUUAUUGGGCGUAAAGCGAGCGCAGGCGGUUAGAUAAGUCUGAAGUUAAAGGCUGUGGCUUAACCAUAGUAGGCUUUGGAAACUGUCUAACUUGAGUGCAAGAGGGGAGAGUGGAAUUCCAUAUGUAGCGGUGAAAUGCGUAGAUAUAUGGAGGAACACCGGUGGCGAAAGCGGCUCUCUGGCUUGUAACUGACGCUGAGGCUCGAAAGCGUGGGGAGCAAACAGGAUUAGAUACCCUGGUAGUCCACGCUGUAAACGAUGAGUGCUAGGUGUUAGACCCUUUCCGGGGUUUAGUGCCGUAGCUAACGCAUUAAGCACUCCGCCUGGGGAGUACGACCGCAAGGUUG
This 550-nucleotide ribosomal RNA is filed under the name uncultured bacterium. Its description in RNAcentral is "bacterial SSU rRNA". It matches the Rfam family "Bacterial small subunit ribosomal RNA", at positions 355 to 896 of the family's 1533-position model. The record is from RNAcentral.